AUGGAGAAUGGUUCUUUGAGUUCUCAUCUGUUUUCAAAGAGUUCGGCCGUAUUAACCUGGGAUCUCCGGUACCAUAUUGCACUUGGAACUGCAAGAGGCUUGGCUUAUCUCCAUGAGGAAUGUAAAGAAUGCAUUAUACAUUGUGACAUGAAGCCAGACAAUGUACUUCUUGAUGCAGAGUUCUGCCCCAAGAUUGCGGACUUCGGCAUGGCCAAGCUUCUAGGUCGAGAUUUCAGCAGGGCUUUGACAACAAUGCGAGGGACCAUUGGAUAUCUUGCACCGGAGUGGAUAUCGGGGUUACCGAUCACACAUAAGACUGAUGUUUACAGCUAUGGCAUGAUGCUUCUUGAAAUCAUAUCUGGUCGAAGGAACUCAGAGAAAAUUAAGGAAGGAAAGUUCACAUACUUUCCCAUCUUUGCGGCAAUCAAGGUGAAUGAGGGAGAUGCUAUGUGUCUGCUGGACAGUAGGUUGGAAGGCCAGGCAGAUGGAGAG
Molecule: ribosomal RNA, 492 nt
Filed under: Triticum aestivum (bread wheat)
Lineage: Eukaryota; Viridiplantae; Streptophyta; Magnoliopsida; Poales; Poaceae
Description: partial small subunit ribosomal RNA
Source: RNAcentral